RNAcentral lists this long non-coding RNA (268 nucleotides) under Hordeum vulgare. RNAcentral's name for it is "long non-coding RNA (HVUL_LNC002215)". Lineage: Eukaryota; Viridiplantae; Streptophyta; Magnoliopsida; Poales; Poaceae. The record is from RNAcentral.
UUUUCCACUAGGGAAUCCAACGAGAUCGCGAGCUUCGUGAUUGAGGAUUUCUAUGCGGCUUGUGGUAAUUUGUGAUGGACUAGUUGGAGCACCCCUGCAGGGUUAAAUCUUUCGGAAAGCUGUGCCCGCGGUUAUGUGGCAACGUGGAAACUUUGUUUAACACUGGUUCUAGAUAACUUGAAGUUAACUUAAUUAAAACUUGCCAACUGUGUGCGUAACCGUGACUGUCUCUUUCGUGAGUUCCUUCUCCGAUCGAGGACACGGUGGG